AAAAGAUUACAAGGUGAUUACCGACUCCACGGACUCGACCUCUCUUAACCUCUUACGAACCUCCGCGUAAUCCUCCGGGUUGUCCACACCCUCACGUUCGAAUCCACGAACGCCACGUUCCGAGUCCACGAAAUGCCACCACUUUGAAUCCACGAAGCUCCACUACUUCGAAUCCACGAAGCUAUCGAUCCGAAUCCUCGAACUCUUGACCACGUCGAAUCCACGACGCCUCAGGUCGAAUCCACGACGCCGUUCAUGAGAAGCAUCAUGAGUAUGGUGAUCCUUCGCUUAGAGUAUCGUAGAAAACCAAGGAAGAGAACUCCAAGUGAAGCGUAGAUCAAAUCGACAUAUAGAUCGAAAAUUCCAAUACCUCGAUUUGACCUAAAAGAGGCUUUAUGAAGAAAAUAGGUUUUUGAUGAAAUCCAAGCCUCUAGAGUUUCUCAAACAUGUAUUUUCGUGAUGCUUGAUAAUACCUACAUCUUAGAGAACCCCUAAUAGCUUAUUUAUAGACUUUAAAAUCAAUCGGAGUAGGAUUUAGAAAGUUUUCACGAUUUUACACUGUGUACCGGUACACUUUAAGCUGUUACUGGUUACACGAUGACGGAACGAAAAAACCUAACGAAACAUGAAACCGGUUACAUGUUGAUGGUUGUACCGGCACAUAUUUUGUACCGGUACACUUUGCAAAUUUCCACCGUUUCGGAUUUUGCAAAGUUCCGAUGCACUUUCUAAUCGAGUAAACUUUGAUAUUAUGAUUCUAAUGACUACAACUAAGUAUAAAUUACCAUAACAUGAAAUAAAACUUUACCUGAGCAUCGUGAUUCACGUCGUGAGUUAUUUUCCGAUUUCUUUGAAGUCUUUGAUUCUUCGAUCUUCGUCGAUUCGCUUUGAUCCUUCAAGACUCUGACUCACUUCACGAAACUUGCCAAUACAAAAUCCUUAACAAUCUUCCCCUUUGGCAAUUUCAUGACAAAACUCACAACAACUCAAAAAUUACAAAAAUUACAUCUUAAAAAAAACGAAGUUCAAAUGUUAUCACCAAAAUAUUGAACUUCUCACGUAUAGUCCAAAUAUGAAUUACAUUUACAUCAAAACUCCUAAAACAAACUCUAUGACUUAGACACAACUAGGAGUCUUGAAGUCUUGAUUUCCUGCAAAACAAAAAAUACCAAGAUAAUGUAGAACAUUAGAUUUUUAUACCUUCUCCCCCUUUGUUUGUGAAGUUCAUCCUCUUCAUUUUCUGCUUUGAUCCUGUUCUUCUUAUGAUCUCCCCCUUUUUGUCAAAAAUUGCCAAAAAAAAAACAAAUAGAGAAAAACCACACUAAGAAGCAAAAGAGUAGUCAAGUCAUAGUUACAGACCUAAAGCAAAAGUAAAAACAUGCAAACGAAAGAUAAGCAAGCAAAACUAAACUAACACAUCGUCCUAAAAAGUAACCACAGUGAAAUAAAAAGCCUAAGUCCGAGGAAGAAAUCACUUCGUGUCCUCGUCAUCAUCAUCAUCAUCAGCCCUAGCUCCAGAUCCCCCAGCCUCAGGAGCAUCACUUGAUGGUGGAAUGAGUGGAUGUCGCGAAGUCGAUCUUGUAUACGUGGUGUAGGUAGGCUGAGUAGGAAAUAUGUCAUCAUGCCUACACCCGAGUUUUUCCAUAAUCCUCUUCAUUCCCACUUCCACCUUCUUUGCAAGAUCUGUCACCUUCUUCUUCAAAGAGCACACCUCAUGAUGAAGUGAUUCUACAGUAAUCACUCCCCCUGAGCUCGAAGACCCCUCGUGCUCUGCAUGACGUGGAGGUGCUGAACUGGAAGCAGCUCUCGACGAUCCCUUUGUUUGCUGGAAAGUCUUCAGUGUGCUGACUGAUUUGGCCCAAGUCACAGCAUCGAUCGGUCCAAGGCCAGUAUCGUACUUCUCACAAGAUACAUCUACUCCAUUCUCUUGCAAAAUCUGAGUGAUCAACAAUGGAAAAGGAAGUAGAUCGCGUCGCACUUGAGACUGUAUAACAUGAACCAUCCUCUGCCACAUAAGGAAAGGAAUAUUGAUGUUCAAUCCAUCCGCUUGCUCCGGGUGACCAAGAAGAUAUAGAAGAACUAGUCGAUCCUAUCGAAUUCUCUUGGUUCCAAUAGUUGGUUGAACAUUAUAGCACAUUACCAAGGAUAAAAGAUGAUACUCAGGAUGCAAAUCCUUGGAUUCCACGUAAGAAUGAUUCGUCCUCACACCUUCCUUAUAGAUUGCUCGAGUAACAGUCUCCCAGUGGGUUGAAGACUGAUAAAGCCCUAUCGUAUAGUGAAGGCCUGUAGUAUCAACAUGCAUCCUUAAGUGCUCUCCAAUUGUGUAAGGAGUGACUUGAAUCUUCCGCUGGCGCACAUAUGUCUCAAACACAUAAGCUCCAGUCUCCUCAUCCUCUACAAGCACCAUCCCGUUCAUGUAGAACUCCCGAAUGAGUUCCACACAGAAUGGAGCACGAGCUGGAACCCGUCCAACGGGCUCAAUAGGGACCCUCUGCAGCAAACGACCAAAAUUUGGAACCUCCUUGAUCAGUUCAGUAAAAUUGACAUAUCACUCAGCUAGAACUGAUCGGCCCAAAUAUAUCCUCCGUCGCUCUAAUGAAACAUCUGCAGCACUUUUGGAGCGACCCUCACGCGCACGAGAACCACCUCCGCGCGAGGAUUCAUUAGCUAUUCUUUUCCUUUAUCAACUCGAGCAGUCAAUUCUUCAGUAGCUUCAGGCGAACUUGCCUGGUAAUCCGGAUCAGAACCCGGUGACUCGCCUGCAGUACGAGUCCUCUUGGAGGCCCCUCGACGACCUCUACCACCGCCACGACCACGACCGUCAGCCAUUAGCACCAAAAUCAGCAAUACAAGCGAAAACGCCAUUUUUCCUACAUUAAAAUAAGCCAUACAUGAACAAAAUCUUGAAAAAAUCUGUAAAAAUAGCGAAAAAAUAUCUAAUAUUCUUAGAAUGCAUACUAACGCUAUUUCAAACUCAUUCAUGCAAAAAAAAUUUCAACAAAAAUUGAUAUUCCAACAAAAAUCCCGAAAUUCCAUAUAUAAUGAGGUACAGAUCGCAGAUCAGUGAAAAAUAUAGCGUUAUAACCUGAUCUAAGUGUUCUAGAAGCAAGAUUAUAUGUCCAAAUACUGAUUCACAGCAAAAAAAUUGUAUCAAAAACGAAUCAAAAUAGAGAUCUAGCUUCAACUCGGAAUAUUUUCAAAAAAUAGGCAAGAACGCGAUGAAAUGGUUAAAUCUAAGCUAAAUACUUACAGAUCUUGGAGAAAAACGUGCAAAUCUGGAGGAGAAGGGUGCUGAGGAUUUUUAGAAAGAGAAAGGGAGCGAUUUGAUUUAGAAUAGAGAGAGAAACGAACCCUGUAUCCGGUUAUAAAACGUGGUCUACAGUGAUUUGUACCGAUACACGAGAUUUUGUACCGGUACACUUCACCAGAUUUCGAAAAUCUAAAUUUAAAAACCCUUUAAAAUUAAACGAAUUUCAUAUAAAUUAAGCACUUUACUCCAAAAAUCAUUAUAAUGAAGAUAAAAUAUUAUAAAAUUUCAAAAUACAUCGAAACAAUAAAAUUUUGUUAUCAAAAGUAACCUCUUGUUUCAAAAUCAUCAAGAUGUAACGGUGUACGAAAAAUGAUUUUUAGAAAUUUGGCAAAAUUGACACCAAUUUGUCACAAUUCGUUCAAAAUAGAAAUUUAACUAAUAUGAUACUGGGGGUGGCUCUUUGAGCAUAUUUUCAACUUACCACCUUAUCACUCCGAAAAUUCUAAAAUAUUUAAUUUUUUUUUUUCAACCUUUUAGGUUAUUCAAUCUUCAUGUGGUAACUUCACACACUUGCCGGACGACAGGGGUGGUAGCUCUUUCCUACAUGUGGUGGUAGUUUUCACACUCCUUUUGGAUGUAACUUUUUCCACAUCUUUUAAGCAUAGGAGUUUCUCCUUUUUUUUUUAAUUUUUUUUAACAAUUCAAACUCCCCCUAAAUUAGACAACCUCACAAUUGAAAAUAAUUUGACAAAUUUUAGUCUAUUAACGAAUAUCCAUCGAUCAUAUCCAACACACACAACCGAGAUAGAUUAAUAACCAAGAGAUCAAAUUUGAUUUCAAAAUUUUGAUGAAUAUAUGUAUUAAGAAAUCAUAUAUUAAAUUAUUGUCAAAAUAAUAAAGAGUGGAGUAAGAUCGAUAAUUAAUAUGAAUUUAAUUCAAGAUGAGUUCCGAUUAAAACACUUUGAAAAAUUCUAAUCUCCCUAAAAUAAAGAUUUUCAAUCGUCUCUUUCCUCCAAGAAAAAUUUUAAAUUCCCAAAUACUUUGCCUCAAAACGUUUUAUAAACAAAUAAAAUUCAAAGCACCAAAAAUCGUCCAAAAUAUGUAAUGCAAUGAAUAAGAAUAUGCAACAAGCACCUAUCAAAGCACUACACAAAAAAAAAACACCAACUAAGAUGAGGAGCAAGGAAAGAUAUCACCUUUCCGGAUCCAAACUUGUCGAAUCGUUGGUUUUCUCGACUUGUUGACGUUAGGUGCCGUUUGUUUAGAUUUUUGAUCAACCGUUGGUGGUUUCUUUGCUUGAGGCUUCGGUUGAACUUGUCGUUUAGGCUUAGAAUUCCGGUUUGCUUUAGGAUUCGGUUGGAUUUGGCAUUGCGCAUUAGAAUACCGGUUUGCUUGGGGAUUUGGUCGAACUUGAUGUUGUGUAUUAGAAAUCCGAUUCCCUUGAGGUGCUCGACUCAAAUGAUUUGGCUUUUGAUUUCGUGGGGGAUGUCGAGUUGUAGAUGAUGUCGAUUGAAGUUUAGAGAGUGUCGAUCGAUGUGUAGACAUGGCCAAUUGAUUCAUCUUUUCUUUGUUUGGGCAAUUCUUUUUGAUGUGUCCUUUGAUGCCACAUCGAUGACACACUUUGCCAUUUAAAGUUGUUGAGACUUUCGAAGUUGAUUUAGAAUCCUUCUCAACAUAUGUCCGUUCAUAUCCGAGGCCCAAUUUGCUCGUUUGACCCAAUCCGAGCAUAUGAUCCAAUUUCUUAGAUCCCGAUGAAAACUUUUGAAUAUCGGUUUGGAGUUGACGAACUUGGUCGGCCAAGGCUUUGUUCGAUUUGCGUGAUUCCUCAAAUUGAUGCUCCAAAAAUCCAACUUUGCCUUUAGAGGAUUUGAUCGUUGAUUCCGCUUCAUUAAGCUUCUCUUGGAGGUCCAAAUUAUUCUUCAAAAUUGAUUCUCUUUCCUCCUCAAGAGCUUUGUUCGUUGUCUUUAAAUUUUUAUUUUCUUCCUCAAUGUCUGAUAGACGACGCCUCAACUUCUUAUUAUGCUUGGCCAUCCUUUUUGAUUCAAUAAGAAGUUGAUUGUACGCUUCCGCUAUGUCAUCGUCGUUUGAUUCCUCCUCGCUAUCGUCGAUAUCGCUCAAAGACACAUGCGAAGAAGUAGACAUAUUGGAAUUAGACAUAAUAGAGGAUAAACACACAACGUUAGACGAAGGCAAAGAAGAAUUAGCAAACAAAGCAAGAUUUUCAUUCUUUUCUUCGUCACUUGAAGAUGAUUCACUCGAAGACGAAUCAUCCCAUGUCCUUGCUUCCAAUGCCUUCUUAGUAUAUGAUUUCUUCGAAGGACAAUCCGUUGCGAUGUGGCCGUAGCCUUUGCACUUGUAGCAUCGGAUCUCGCCUUCAAAUACAUCCUUUUCUUUCGAAGCCUUUGCACACUUCUUCUCUUUAGAUGUAGAAGAUGAAGACUUAGAAAACGAUUGUUGCUUAGACGAUGUAGCCUUGUCAAAUUUGUGCUUGUUCCGAAAAUUUCGACGAAACUUCUUCGUUAAUAGUGCAAGUUGAUGUUCGAAAUCGGCAAGCAAUACAUCUUCAUCGGAAUCUGAAUCCUCAUCUUCCUCCUUUGUCGACUUCAAUGCAACCCCUAUGCUUUUAGAGAAAGACUUGGAAGAAGAUUGAUUAGUAGGAAAAGUCAUCUCAUAUGUUUGUAAAACACCUACUAACUCUUCGACUUUCAUCUCGUCCGGAUGCUUUACGGUUUCGAUUGCGGCAACUUUUGCCCGAAAGCAUUCCGGAAGAGUUCGAAGAAUCUUUCUAACUACUUUAGCAUCCGGGAUUUUCUCUCCCAAAUUAGCGCAUGUAUUUACAACGUCUUGUAGACACGUAUAGUACUCGGUAAAGGUCUCGCUUUCGUCCAUAAAAAUUGAAUCAAACUUGCUUAUUAGCAUUUGUAAUUUUUGGACCUUUACUAAGCUCGUUCCUUCAUGCGUAACUUGUAGAGUAUCCCAAAUCUCCUUGGCGGUUUCACACGCCGAAACAUGAGUAAACUCCGUUUGCGAUAAAGCAUUGAAUAAAGCAUUAAUUCCUUUACCGUUAAACGAAGAUGACUUGUUUUCAUCUUUCGUCCACUUGUUCCGUAGUUUAAGAACGGUAGCAUCAUCGACGACUUCGGUAGGAUGCUUCCAAACGAAUUCUAUAGCUUUCCACACCCGCUCAUCGAUUGCAAUUAGAAAGGCUCUCAUGCGAACUUUCCAAUAGGCAUAGUUUGUGCCAUCGAAGAGCGGUAGUCGAUUAAUGUUUUCGCCUUCGGCCAUUAGAUAGCAAUUUAUCUAGAUCCUGCUCUGAUACCAAUUGUAAGUUUUGGGGUGCCUAAGGAUCUAUCUAGAUUGUAUCUAAUACCUAGAGGGGGGUGAAUAGGUGUAACGGCCAAAAACCACAAAUCUAAAUGCGACAAAAAUAAAUGCGGAAAAUAAAAAGCACAUCGAGAUUUAUGUGGAAACUCCAACUUGGAGUAAAAAACCCACGAGACCAACACGUGAAAAAAUAAUUCACUAAGAAAAAAGAUUACAAGGUGAUUACCGACUCCACGGACUCGACCUCUCUUAACCUCUUACGAACCUCCGCGUAAUCCUCCGGGUUGUCCACGCCCUCACGUUCGAAUCCACGAACGCCACGUUCCGAGUCCACGAAACGCCACCACUUCGAAUCCACGAAGCUCCACCACUUCGAAUCCACGAAGCUAUCGAUCCGAAUCCUCGAACCCUUGAAAACGUCGAAUCCACGACGCCUCACGCCGAAUCCACGACGCCGUUCAUGAGAAGCAUCAUAAGUAU
RNAcentral lists this long non-coding RNA (7054 nucleotides) under Ananas comosus (pineapple). RNAcentral's name for it is "long non-coding RNA (ACOM_LNC024213)". Lineage: Eukaryota; Viridiplantae; Streptophyta; Magnoliopsida; Poales; Bromeliaceae. The record is from RNAcentral.